AUCCAGUUGCCAUCGGGCGAGCCGGGCACUCUGGAGGGACUGCCGGCGACAAGCCGGAGGAAGGUGGGGAUGACGUCAAGUCAUCAUGGCCCUUAUGUCCAGGGCGACACACGUGCUACAAUGGCCGGCACAGCGGGAAGCGGAGGGGCGACCCUGAGCGGAUCCCUUGAAAGCCGGUCCCAGUUCGGAUUGCAGUCUGCAACUCGACUGCAUGAAGUUGGAAUCGCUAGUAAUCGCGGAUCAGCCAAGCCGCGGUGAAUACGUUCCCGGGCCUU
This 275-nucleotide ribosomal RNA is filed under the name uncultured Thermovirga sp. RNAcentral's name for it is "partial 16S ribosomal RNA". It matches the Rfam family "Bacterial small subunit ribosomal RNA", at positions 1109 to 1382 of the family's 1533-position model. The record is from RNAcentral. Lineage: Bacteria; Thermotogati; Synergistota; Synergistia; Synergistales; Thermovirgaceae.